AAAGCCGGGAUUCUGAGUGAAGAAUUGGAUUCCACAAGCUGAAAUUCCAGGAGAAACUUUUCUUCUUAGUACCAGCUCUACAAAUCUUCAAAAUUCUUUAAGAGAAUCACUCCUUUUGGCAUGUAUUUCUUGGUCUCUGUGUGUUUACUAAAUGGAACUACCCUGCUUGCUUUCAUCACAUUAGAGGCAGUCAGACUCCUGGCAGGAUAAGGAAAGGUUCUUUCUAAUUAGUUUUUUUUUCACGCUAAUGCUGCUUUCAAAUCUUGCUAAUGAUGAUUUUAGUUUCCUGUGACCUUGUGUGCUUCCUUACUGUGUGUUGCAGUUAGUUUUUUGCAUUUGAAGAUACAGGCAAAACAAGAGACCGGAAUCCAUUGAUUUUGAGACUUGCAUAACUCUGGGAGCAAAGCUGAGCAGUUUCGUGACUGACAUUCACAGCUGUAUCUGUGUGUCCCAGUAAUUCGGUGCACCAGCAGUGAAGCAAACAGUAGAUGAAAGAACCUGCUGAUGAGGCCUUUACAUCUUUACACUGAGCCCUGCCUGUCAGGUUUCUGUGGGACUGGGUUUAGCCUGGCCUUCUGAACUGAGUGCUGCCAUCAAAUGGGCUUGGAAGCUGCUCAGAGCUUCAGUCACUGACUGACUCUUCUGUGCCAUCAAAGCCUGGGUGUGCAGUCACUGAGUGCUCCAGAGGUCACUGCCUUCAUGCCCUGCAGGUUAAAACUACUUCUGGAUUCUGGCAAGAGAGCUUUUCCACAUUUUUACAUGCUGUUCCCAAGCCACUUAUUAGUGGGCCAUUGAUUUAUAGCCAGAAGGUAGCCUCCUCCCAAGUGAAAACCGUGAGAUAUUUGUUUGAAAACAUCAUGCUAAUUUAG
RNAcentral lists this long non-coding RNA (869 nucleotides) under Cyanistes caeruleus (blue tit). RNAcentral's name for it is "lncRNA (ENSCCEG00000012202.1)". The record is from RNAcentral. Lineage: Eukaryota; Metazoa; Chordata; Aves; Passeriformes; Paridae.